RNAcentral lists this long non-coding RNA (1644 nucleotides) under Toxoplasma gondii VEG. The record is from RNAcentral. Lineage: Eukaryota; Apicomplexa; Conoidasida; Eucoccidiorida; Sarcocystidae.
CUUCAGAUCCUUUGCUCCGAGCCCGUCUCCGGAAAUGGAAAACACGAGGGAAACCAUGUUUGUACUGCUCUGAGAACUGAAAGGCUCAAAUGAAAGCAGGGUUUACCUCUUUUGGAGAUGAAGACUACUAGGGUUGUCGGCUUGCUUUCGUGGUAGACACACUGUGGGCGCAGUCGGCUGGAUCGAGAAGGCACUCACUCAGAUUCACAGCAAAGAAGAUGACUAUCCGCGUCAAAAACGUGUCUGGUCUCGCGAAAUUUUCGAGGCAGGAAAGCCUUGAAUCCCCAGAGCUAUCCUGUCUUUUUACAGGGUAGAGAAGUCCUGCACCUGUGCGUGCAAGGAUUAAACGGUGUUGCCUCUUCCGGAAACAGCUUCGCCACAUUCUCUUGCGUGAGCGUACCCACUUCAUGCUCUUGCAUCCUUGAUCGCAAACGUAUCCGUUCUUGUCCAUGUGAAGGCAUUGCUUGUUUGAAAUUGCUGCUGUACGCAACCCAACAAGCGCUUAAUCGUACAAACGUGUUCCCGACAACGCCAAAGAUGAGCGGAAGAGUCCAGCACGUUUUCAUUGACCGUUGCGGUUUGGAAGUCGACCACGUGAACCACUGGACUGAAGUCGACUCUUCGAGCUAAGAAUGCAGUACCACGUUCCUCCCUCCCCCUGGAGCUAGCCAGGCGCACAACAUUGGAGAGUAUUUCAGAGCGAGAACUCUAUACCGCCGAGGAUGUUUUCAGCGAGACAUAGGGAAGUGACGAGUCGCAUGGAGAAUUGUGAGACAUGGCUGGCGAGGACAGAGAUGAAAUCGACGGAAGGGACGCAGUCGUCGGCCCCGGCGUCACCGACUCUGUUGUUGCUUGCUUCAUGAAACUUUGCGUGAGGCGUCAUGUAAGUCUUGGAGCGCGGUCACCGAUUUUCGCUCCCUACACGAGAUGUGCGUGUAUCGUAAAGUCAGCAAACACGCAUGUGGGUCCCUUUCUAGCGUAAGCAGACGUUGUCGGAAGGGAACGCCUUUACCCCGAAACUACCAGCAAUCCAGUGAUGUUCCUGGAAAUGUAUCUAAGUGAGUUUUCUGUUCGUUUUUCUGCAUAGUUAUCAGAAGCCUCCGUAGGCCUGACGCAUAUCUGGGGAUCAAGAAAUCUUAGCAGUCAUGCAAUCGUUUGCAUGCUUGUUGCUUGAGGCACUCGAGGUCAUUUACGUACGGAUAUGUACAUUUAUGGACACGUGCAUAUAUGCAAAAUGAGUGUGUUUCCGCAUCUACAUACAUGUACGCGUAUGUCUUUUGAUCUAACGUACAUAUAUAUAUGUCAGUAUAUGCAUGUGUCUCCAUGUGGAAGUAGAGGUUUCCGAACAUCGACCUUUAGAUAUACAGUGCAUAUAACCAGCUGCGCGCGUCCAAUGGCGGCUUUUCUGAUAAAGGCUCAAAAUGAGUAUACGUAGUACGGAAAGUGUUCUUUCGGUGUACACGUAGACAUUUUGGGCUGUUCGAGGAUGCGGGGAAGGGCGGAGGCAUACACUCCCGCGAACUUUAACGUCGCAGAGAAUGGAGAAGAGAAAUGAGAAAACCCUGGAAAGCACAUCAAACCGUGUCAAACCAGCCGUCGCUCAUGCUGCAGUACAGCCAAAGCAUUUGACACUUUACUCGGGAG